Molecule: ribosomal RNA, 305 nt
Filed under: uncultured bacterium
Lineage: Bacteria
Description: bacterial SSU rRNA
Rfam family: Bacterial small subunit ribosomal RNA
Source: RNAcentral
UUUUCCUACGGGGCGCAGCAGUGGGGAAUAUUGCACAAUGGGCGAAAGCCUGAUGCAGCAACGCCGCGUGAAGGAAGACGGUUUCCGGAUUGUAAACUUCUAUCAAUAGGGAAGAAAGAAAUGACGGUACCUAAAUAAGAAGCCCCGGCUAACUACGUGCCAGCAGCCGCGGUAAUACGUAGGGGGCAAGCGUUAUCCGGAUUUACUGGGUGUAAAGGGAGCGUAGACGGCAGGGCAAGUCUGGAGUGAAAGGCAGGGGCCCAACCCCUGGACUGCUCUAGAAACUGUCCGGCUGGAGUGCAGGG